This 497-nucleotide ribosomal RNA is filed under the name uncultured bacterium. RNAcentral describes it as "partial 16S ribosomal RNA". It matches the Rfam family "Bacterial small subunit ribosomal RNA", at positions 28 to 507 of the family's 1533-position model. The record is from RNAcentral.
GAUGAACGCUGGCGGCGUGCCUAAUACAUGCAAGUCGAGCGAACAGACGAGGAGCUUGCUCCUCUGACGUUAGCGGCGGACGGGUGAGUAACGCGUGGAUAACCUACCUAUAAGACUGGGAUAACUUCGGGAAACCGGAGCUAAUACCGGAUAAUAUAUUGAACCGCAUGGUUCAAUAGUGAAAGACGGUUGUGCUGUCACUUAUAGAUGGAUCCGCGCAGCAUUAGCUAGUUGGUAAGGUAACGGCUUACCAAGGCAACGAUGCGUAGCCGACCUGAGAGGGUGAUCGGCCACACUGGAACUGGGACACGGUCCAGACUCCUACGGGAGGCAGCAGUAGGGAAUCUUCCGCAAUGGGCGAAAGCCUGACGGAGCAACGCCGCGUGAGUGAUGAAGGUCUUCGGAUCGUAAAACUCUGUUAUUAGGGAAGAACAAAUGUGUAAGUAACUAUGCACGUCUUGACGGUACCUAAUCAGAAAGCCCCGGCUAACUACGUG